GUUCAUUGAAAAUGACCCUUGGCAUUGGCUUUGACGGUUAUGAGGGGGAUGAGAUUUGCUGCUCAGAACCACUAGGGUCACCACCUGCUCCCUCAGUGUGUGUAGGAGGGGUGAAUCCCAGGCUCUGACAGCC
Molecule: small nucleolar RNA, 133 nt
Filed under: Mus pahari (shrew mouse)
Lineage: Eukaryota; Metazoa; Chordata; Mammalia; Rodentia; Muridae
Description: predicted gene, 22156 (MGP_PahariEiJ_G0034145.1)
Source: RNAcentral